Long non-coding RNA from Hyla sarda, 488 nucleotides. RefSeq lists it as uncharacterized. The transcript is spliced from 3 exons. The record is from RefSeq and is a predicted model, not a curated record. NCBI's taxonomy places the organism in Eukaryota, Metazoa, Chordata, Amphibia, Anura, Hylidae.
CUCCAAUAGCCAAAGCCACAGAUAUAAAAGUGAAUCCCCCCACGUAAAAUGGUGGUAUGAUCAAGCCGGAUAUGGCCAACCAUGAGCUGUUCCUGUGUUGUUGCAGUAUGUGCUCACUUGCUCUACUGAGCGGCAUCUGACAGGACAGGGUCCCGGGGAUACUAUCCUGAGAAUUUGUGCCAAAGUAUCUAGGACACAUUUAAUAGGAUAAAGUACAAGAACAAACUUUAUUAACAAGGCAAUACGACAUCCUCUCUUUUCAACAACUUCAGUUCACGUUUCCAUCAAACCGCGCCCAGUAUUUCCAGCCAUUGAGAAAAAGGACAGUUUUUAUACAAAAAAAAAAAAAAGACACUAUUUUUUUCCAGUCAAUUUUCCAACCAAGUUGGCUUUGAAAACAGUGUGUGAACAUGGUCUCAGUCAGUCCCUCAGUACACAACACAACAGAAAAAUGGCACACCAGCUUGGAUAUGUGCAGGACAACACCA